CCUACGGGAGGCAGCAGUGGGGAAUAUUGCACAAUGGGGGGAACCCUGAUGCAGCGACGCCGCGUGGGUGAAGGAGUAUUUCGGUAUGUAAAGCCCUAUCAGCAGGGAAGAACAAUGACGGUACCUGACUAAGAAGCACCGGCUAAAUACGUGCCAGCAGCCGCGGUAAUACAUAUGGUGCAAGCGUUAUCCGGAUUUACUGGGUGUAAAGGGAGCGCAGGCGGCGCGUUAAGCCUGGUGUGAAAGUCCGCGGCCCAACCGCGGGACUGCAUUGGGAACUGGCGCGCUGGAGUGCCGGAGGGGUAGGCGGAAUUCCUAGUGUAGCGGUGAAAUGCGUAGAUAUUAGGAGGAACACCAGUGGCGAAGGCGGCCUACUGGACGGUGACUGACGCUGAGGCUCGAAAGCGUGGGGAGCAAACAGGAUUAGAUACCCCAGUAGUC
RNAcentral lists this ribosomal RNA (441 nucleotides) under uncultured bacterium. RNAcentral describes it as "partial 16S ribosomal RNA". It matches the Rfam family "Bacterial small subunit ribosomal RNA", at positions 338 to 795 of the family's 1533-position model. The record is from RNAcentral.